This 651-nucleotide long non-coding RNA is filed under the name Marmota monax (woodchuck). Lineage: Eukaryota; Metazoa; Chordata; Mammalia; Rodentia; Sciuridae. The record is from RNAcentral.
AAAAUGUCCAUACUAUCAAAACAAUCUAUGGAUUGAACACAAUCAUUCAAAAUUCUGAUGACACUUUUUUCAUUAAAAAAUAAAAACCCUAACUAACCAAUGCAAUAAAGCAGGCGAUCAUACUAUCUGAUUUAAAAAUAUACUAUAGAGCAAUUAAAAAAACAACAUGGUACUGACAUAAAAUAUACCACCCAUCAAAGAGGAAGGAUGGUCUCUUUAAUGACUGGUACUGGGAAAACUGGAUACCUGUGUUACCUUUUGUGUUCUUAUAACAAACACCCAAAUAACCAACUUAUAAAGAGAAAAGUUUUAUCUUGGCUCACAGUUUUUGUAGGCUUCAGUCCAGAUAGACGGGGCUUGUGGCUUUAGGCCUGUGGUGAGGCGCACAUCAUGGCAGAAGCACCUCGCAAGGCAAAAUCAGGUAUCUUGUGGCUGAGAAAAGGAGGAAGAGGAAGGGGCAAGGGUCCCAUUAUCCCUCUUCAAGACACAACCCCCAGUGACCCAAAACCUUCCAUUAGGUCCCACCUCUUAAGUUUCCACCACCUUCCUGGAGCGCCACACUGGGACACACACCUUUUAACACAUGGGACUUUGGCAGCCAUUCCAGAUCUAAACUACAGCAAAGUUACAUGCAAAAGAGUGAAACUGGAC